UUAAAAGGAAAAAAAAAAAAAAAGGUUGACAUUUACAGCCAAGAGCUAGGUACACAACUGCAAAGGUCAUCAAUGAGUAAACAGAUAUUAAUGGUUAGCCGGAUAACUGGUACAUAAACAGGUCACAUUAAUAAUUAACACCAGGCAAAACUAGCACUUUCAGCCAAGCUCGGGGAAGUGGAUGCCAGAUGAAACCCACAAGAGGAUGAGAAAAAUCCAGUGUUGAUUUCUGGUUGUCAAAAGGAGGGAAAAUUACUGCUUCAUUUUUCCAUUUCUCCUAUCCUCACCAAAAAAUGUUUCGAGGCAGUCGUGAUGGAAAAGCCUGACUAAGUCCUCUCCAGGGCAUCAGGGAGCUUCUCCUGGGUAUUAUCUCAAGCACCUCCACCCAGCUCUGCACUACAACCAUGGACGCACAUGCCUAUCUCCCCACAGGACAUCAAAUUCCUUACUAAAGAGAGAGGAUACUGUUUUCAUCUUCAGAUCCCCUGCCACCUAGCCCUGUGCUUGGAAAGCAGCACAUUAAUGUAGACUGAAUACGUAAAUGAAUGAAAUGAAUGGACCUCUCAGCAAUCAUGCUUAGAAAAGCAACUCUGAUGAGUGAAAUAUUAAUGAAUCUGUUACAGCUUUUCUUUUUUUUUGGCUUGGUCUAAGUCUUUGCACAUGUUCACUGUAGCCACAUUUGUGAUUGCAAGUUUUAGUUUGAAUAAAUCUUGUCAAUAACAGUAGCAAAAUACCUAAUGAUUCAGGUCUUCAGCUUUUUCUUCUACAAAAAGGAGAGAUGAUAAUUCCUGCCUUGCCAGGCUAAGGGGCUGGUUGAAAAGACUGUCUGAAAUGAUAUAUGUCAUUAUAUAUGAGAAUGCUGAAGCCCUAAUGCAAUCAGAGUUCCUUUCUCUGCCCAUCUCUACCCAUCUGACACUGUGAAAAUUCUCUGCCUACUAUCUAUGAACCAAUUUGUAUAUGAACAAGGACCCUCCCUCUAGUCUCAGGAUUCUCAGACCUUGCUCAGCAUCCAGCAUAUUGCAAGUGCUCAGGAAGCGUUCAUGAUAUAAUGAUGCACAUAACCAAUAGCAUAAUAAUUUCAUUCAUUCAAACCAUAUUAGGAACCAUUAACUAGGACAGGAUAUGUGGGGGGAGGAAUGGAAACUAUCAAGUUUCCCAUUCACCAAGCAUUCUAUAUACCUGAUUUUAUUCAUUAUUUCUUUUAACCCUAUGAAGUAGCUAACAUUGUCCUUGUUUUCGUGGAAGGAAUCCAAGUCUUGAAGAGUUGGUUGUCAUGCCAAAGACACCCAGUUAAUAACUGCAGAGACAGGACUCGAAAUCAUACAGCACACUGCCUUCCUGUGAUGAGACCCUUCCACUCAAGAGAACAGUCUGGGGCACCUCUGACAUCAGAGUCGAUGUCUUCUAGAUGUGAAUAACUUCCAGGGCCCACCUAGUCCGACCACCAAUGAGGAAUCUGAGGUUCAAAGGGAAGUAUGUGGACGAGGUCAGCCACUCCAUAUUAGUGGGGGGG
Molecule: long non-coding RNA, 1513 nt
Organism: Nycticebus coucang (slow loris)
Lineage: Eukaryota; Metazoa; Chordata; Mammalia; Primates; Lorisidae
Exons: 2
Source: RefSeq, a predicted model, not a curated record